UACGGGAGGCAGCAGUGGGAAUAUUAUACUAGGCAAGCGAUCCUAAUCCAGCCAUGCCGCGUGUGUGAAGAAGGACCUUUCGCCUGUGAAGCGUAAUACAGCUUUGAAGAAGAGCUAAUAAGUUAAUACCGUAGAGCGAUGACAGUCCCG
Molecule: ribosomal RNA, 150 nt
Filed under: uncultured bacterium
Lineage: Bacteria
Description: partial 16S ribosomal RNA
Source: RNAcentral